GAUGAACGCUGGCGGUAUGCUUAACACAUGCAAGUCGAACGGUCACUUCGGUGAUAGUGGCGGACGGGUGAGUAACGCGUGAGAAUCUGUCUUCAGGUCGGGGACAACAGUUAGAAAUGACUGCUAAUACCGGAUGUGCCUUUGGGUGAAAGAGUUAUUGCCUGAAAAAGAGCUCGCGUCAGAUUAGCUAGUAGGUGGUGUAAGAGACUACCUAGGCUCCGAUCUGUAGCCGGUCUGAGAGGACGAUCAGCCACACUGGAGCUGAGACACGGUCCAGACUCCUACGGGAGGCAGCAGUGGGGAAUUUUCCGCAAUGGGCGAAAGCCUGACGGAGCAAUACCGCGUGAGGGACGAAGGCUUUUGGGUCGUAAACCUCUUUUCUCAAGGAAGAUGAUGACGGUACUUGAGGAAUAAGCAUCGGCUAACUCUGUG
Molecule: ribosomal RNA, 432 nt
Filed under: uncultured bacterium
Lineage: Bacteria
Description: partial 16S ribosomal RNA
Rfam family: Bacterial small subunit ribosomal RNA
Source: RNAcentral